RNAcentral lists this unclassified non-coding RNA (209 nucleotides) under soil metagenome. RNAcentral's name for it is "partial contains 5.8S ribosomal RNA, internal transcribed spacer 2, and large subunit ribosomal RNA". The record is from RNAcentral.
AACCAUAGAAACCUGCGGAGUACCUGCGGAGGGAUCAUUACCGAGUUAUACAACUCAUCAACCCCUGUGAACUUACCUACAACGUUGCUUCGGCGGGAACAGACGGCCCCGUAAAACGGGCCGCCCCCGCCAGAGGACCCCUAACUCUGUUUUUAUAAUGUUUUUCUGAGUAAACAAGCAAAUAAAUUAAAACUUUUAACAACGGAUCU